UACGUAGGUGGCAAGCGUUGUCCGGAUUUACUGGGCGUAAAGGGAGCGUAGGCGGACUUUUAAGUGAGAUGUGAAAUACCCGGGCUCAACUUGGGUGCUGCAUUUCAAACUGGAAGUCUAGAGUGCAGGAGAGGAGAAUGGAAUUCCUAGUGUAGCGGUGAAAUGCGUAGAGAUAUGGAGGAACACCAGUGGCGAAGGCGACUUCCUGGUCUGUAACUGACACUGAGGCGCGAAAGCGUGGGGAGCAAACAGGAUUAGAUACCCCGGUA
This 269-nucleotide ribosomal RNA is filed under the name uncultured prokaryote. RNAcentral's name for it is "partial 16S ribosomal RNA". It matches the Rfam family "Bacterial small subunit ribosomal RNA", at positions 524 to 792 of the family's 1533-position model. The record is from RNAcentral.